Molecule: long non-coding RNA, 423 nt
Organism: Gasterosteus aculeatus aculeatus (three-spined stickleback)
Lineage: Eukaryota; Metazoa; Chordata; Actinopteri; Perciformes; Gasterosteidae
Source: Ensembl
CCUGGAUGUUGCGCUGCGGUCGGGGAGGUUUCUCAACACCAAGUGCUGCUUCUGAGGCCUGCGUCGCUACGCUGAUAGCGUUGGUUACCACGACGACGGGUGACGGUAGAGCGAGUCUGGGGCCUCGUCUCCACAACUCCGCCUUCCACAAGUCCUGUUGGUGUAAUGUCCCCGCUGAAUGCCGCCGCGGGUUUAACCUCAUUUAUUCAGGUUCAUACUCUCAUUCUCAUUAAGCAGCGCCUUGGACCUCUGGAGUUUAUACUGAAGUGUUUCUGUUUUAAACUCUGAUCUGAAACCAGCCAAGAAACUGCUGCUGAAUUCUGCACAUCGGCUGCAACAAAUGGGACUCCUUAUGACCCCCUUGCCUUUCGUCUCAGGUCUCCUCCAGUGUUUGACACUUGUUUAGCCACCAGCUGUCCACAC